GAUGAACGCUGACAGAAUGCUUAACACAUGCAAGUCAACCUGAACUUCGGUUUGGGUGGCGGACGGGUGAGUAACGCGUAAAGAACUUGCCUCACAGAUAGGGACAACAUUUGGAAACGAAUGCUAAUACCUGAUAUUAUGAUGAUAUGGCAUCGUAUAAUUAUGAAAGCUAUAUGCGCUGUGAGAGAGCUUUGCGUCCCAUUAGCUAGUUGGAGAGGUAACUGCUCACCAAGGCGAUGAUGGGUAGCCCGCCUGAGAGGGUGAUCGGCCACAUGGUGACUGAGCCACCGCCCUUACUCCUUCGGCAGGCAGCUGUAGGGAAUAUUGGACAAUGGACCAAGAGUCUGAGCCAGCACUUCUGUGUGUACGAUGAAGUUUUUCGGAAUGGAAAGUGCUUUCAGUUGGGAAGAAAAAAAUGACGUUACCAACAGAAGAAGUGACGGCUAAAUACGUG
This 454-nucleotide ribosomal RNA is filed under the name uncultured bacterium. Its description in RNAcentral is "partial 16S ribosomal RNA". It matches the Rfam family "Bacterial small subunit ribosomal RNA", at positions 28 to 507 of the family's 1533-position model. The record is from RNAcentral.